GAUGAACGCUGGCGGCGUGCUUAACACAUGCAAGUCGAACGGGAAUUACUUUAUUGAAACUUCGGUCGAUUUAAUUUAAUUCCAGUGGCGGACGGGUGAGUAACGCGUGGGUAACCUGCCUUAUACAGGGGGAUAACAGUCAGAAAUGGCUGCUAAUACCGCAUAAGCGCACGGAACCGCAUGGUUCUGUGUGAAAAACUCCGGUGGUAUAAGAUGGACCCGCGUUGGAUUAGCUUGUUGGCAGGGUAACGGCCACCAAGGCAACGAUGCAUAUCCGAGCUGAGAGGCUGAUC
This 293-nucleotide ribosomal RNA is filed under the name uncultured bacterium. RNAcentral describes it as "partial 16S ribosomal RNA". It matches the Rfam family "Bacterial small subunit ribosomal RNA", at positions 28 to 305 of the family's 1533-position model. The record is from RNAcentral.